This 644-nucleotide unclassified non-coding RNA is filed under the name Rhizorhabdus wittichii. Its description in RNAcentral is "Sphingomonas wittichii partial contains 16S ribosomal RNA, 16S-23S ribosomal RNA intergenic spacer, and 23S ribosomal RNA". The stretch from base 230 to 303 matches the Rfam family "tRNA". The record is from RNAcentral. Lineage: Bacteria; Pseudomonadati; Pseudomonadota; Alphaproteobacteria; Sphingomonadales; Rhizorhabdaceae.
UAGUCGUAAACAAGGUAGCCGUAGGGGAACCUGCGGCUGGAUCACCUCCUUUCUAAGGAUCGACGAGAAAGCGUCACUGCUAGACGGUGAAAGAGCUUCUCUUCUUCCAAAGAACAUUGCCGCCGUCCUCAUGUCCCUUCAUCACUGGAAAACAGACCUUCGGGUCUGUGCGCCUGAGCUGGCUCCUGCCGCCCGCGGCCUUAUGGCCUGCUUGGGUUGCGGCAAAAGGGGGCCGGUAGCUCAGGUGGUUAGAGCGCACGCCUGAUAAGCGUGAGGUCGUAGGUUCAACUCCUACUCGGCCCACCAUUUGCUGCUUGGGCGUGGGGCCUUAGCUCAGCUGGGAGAGCGGUUGCUUUGCAAGCAUCAGGUCAUCGGUUCGAUCCCGAUAGGCUCCACCACUCCCGCGCUUGAUAUUUCCAGAGAUGAAGAAACGAUAUCCGGCCUUGGCCGGUCAGGCGCGAGACGCGCCGUCUUUGACAUUGUGAAUGGGUUCUAGAAAUCGAUGCCGUGGCGGCAUUGUUUCUAUGGUGCGGGGCUUUCGGGCCUCGAGCGAUAGAGGCGAUUGUCGUUCACAAAAUUGAUUGAUGCUGAGUGUAUUUCCGCUCAUCGAUAUCGGCCGUCAGGCUUGAUGUUGGUGGUGCGGU